RNAcentral lists this ribosomal RNA (253 nucleotides) under uncultured bacterium. Its description in RNAcentral is "partial 16S ribosomal RNA". It matches the Rfam family "Bacterial small subunit ribosomal RNA", at positions 524 to 776 of the family's 1533-position model. The record is from RNAcentral.
UACAGAGGGUGCGAGCGUUAAUCGGAAUUACUGGGCGUAAAGCGUGCGUAGACGGUUAUUUAAGUCGGAUGUGAAAGCCCCGGGCUCAACCUGGGAAUUGCAUUCGAGACUGAAUAGCUAGGGUGCGGUAGAGGGAAGCGGAAUUUCCGGUGUAGCGGUGAAAUGCGUAGAGAUUUGGAGGAACACCAGUGGCGAAGGCGACUUUCUGGUCUGUAACUGACACUGAGGCGCGAAAGCGUGGGGAGCGAACAGG